Molecule: long non-coding RNA, 1897 nt
Organism: Gavialis gangeticus (Gharial)
Lineage: Eukaryota; Metazoa; Chordata; Crocodylia; Gavialidae
Exons: 3
Source: RefSeq, a predicted model, not a curated record
UUGCACUGUAGUUAAAGACAGAAAAAUAAACAGAGGAAGAACACAUACUGUCUUACUUUGCCAGAGCCUGGCUGAUCCACCAGAUUUUCACUCUCUAAGACAGAUUUUGCUGUAUUUGUGCUUUUUUCAUCUCCCCCUGAGGAGUAUUAACUCAAAGCAAUCACAAGACACCCAUCUCUGCCUGCUGCUUCCUGAGCUGCUAGUUAUAUCUUCUUCCUGCCUUACUGCUUCUCUACCCAUUUUAAUCUUUUUUUAACCUAGAGGCUGCCUUCUGCUCCUAAAAUGAUAACCAUUUCAUCUGGAAGAGUCUAAACAUGUAAAAGCAUUUUCAUUUCUGUUGAGUUUACUUUCAUUUACUCUCUCCUUUCUAUUGAAAUCAAGCAGCAUAGAGUACUGUAUAGAGAGCAAAGCCUGCAUUCCAUCCAGUUUGAAGUGUUCUUAAAAUACAGUACUGAAAAAGGAAGAGACACACUUCAAGGAAAUGCCGAGCUGCUCAUGACACCAAAGACGAUGCACAUUUAUGGACUUGGUUUUCUGAGCCAUUUCCAGAAACCUGAAUGGAUUACAAUGCGAUUUUAACAAGGCUGCUGGCAUCCAUCGACAGCUUUCACCUACAGGGGCAGUUAAGAGAUGGAAGAAUGUAAUUAUUUUCAUGUAAGCUAAAUUCCAGUUGCUGAUUGCCAUGAGAGGGAAUGCCCUGAAAACUCUGAUGGUUUAAACUUCUUAAUCACCUGCCAUCAAACAGUCCCUCUGAUGACACCACGGAUCUGAGAAUGAAGAACUUCUUAGAGCUGAUUGGAAAUGGCAUUGCUGAGCUGAAACGUAACUCGAGGAAAUAUAUCUCCCGAAGAAGAAAAUGUAAUGCGUUUUAAGGAUCUGACUUCCGGUGAAAAUUUCAAGCCUAGAGAAAACUUGUCCGCUUUGUUAGAAAGAAUGGGUUGGACAAUUUUCUUCAAUUCCAAAGGAUAUCUGAAUGCCAUGCUGAGCAUAAUCUCUGCAGCAUGCUCUGUGAGUCUCUUCUCUUCCUGAUGCACUGCAUGGUUUGCCUGAGGCAGAGAAUAAAGAAACUGGCCACCAAGAUGGUAAUCACUAGUGGAAAUGAAGAAGAUAAAGGCAAUCAAGAAAAGGAGAGCAAAGAAGAAAGCAUUUUGGCAAUGCUUGGGAUUAUUGGGACCAUUCUGAACCUCGUUGUGAUCAUUUUCGUGUAUAUUUACACAACAUUGUGAACUUUGGCAUACAAAGAGAAUAGACAAAACAACUGUGAAAGGUGACAACAAAAAUGGCAGGUUAUUGACAUGCUGUUUAAUCAGAAUUGACUCUGUACUACAUUAACACAUCAUAAAAGCACUGCCUGUGGGCAGCAAAAGAUGAAGCACAAUUAAUUUAACAAGAAUUUUCCACACAGUAGCGAGUUUACUCUUCUGUCUUGGCCCUAUCCAUGUCUGUUUUUGGUUUGGGGGGAAAUGACUGCAAUUACGUAAGUUUCAGCUUGAAGAAAUCCACCUGGGAUAUGUAGUGUCACACAAUAGAAAGAGACUGUAUGCUAUAUACAGCUAUAUACAAAUGUAUACUAUAUGCUCUCAAAGAUCUAACUCAAAGAUAGCUGCAUAGCACAGCUUUUUUGUCUAUUAGGUCAAACAAUUCCUUUUUUUCUCCCUGACUUUAAUUUUGUUUACACUGAAGCUGACAAGCUUUUUAUUUAGAAGGACCAUAUGGUACAAUCACGGAAAAACAAUUCCAUUGAGCAAGAUCUGCCUGAAAAUGAUGACAUGUUGGGAGAAAUAACUUACAUGAUUAUUUUUCUUUCUCGUUUGCUUGACAUCUGUGUCUGUUCAUACCAAUGUUUAUAAAUAUAUAUUUUUAAUAAAUGUGCUAUAUUUUUAGCAUGAAACAACUA